UGAUUCUUUUUGGAGGUUAAAUACCACAUAACAAGCGACACAUAUCAACCUUUAGAACACACAAAACAUUAAAGAUAACCGAGAUAUAAGGCCUGACAUUUUCCAAAAUAAUAUUUUCUGGACACUUAGAAUAUUUUCUGGGUUUGAAGAACAGCCGGUCAAUGCCGGUCAACCCACUUUGACCGCUUAUAAAUCCCGAUCUACAAUAGCUAU
This 213-nucleotide long non-coding RNA is filed under the name Panax ginseng (ginseng). Its description in RNAcentral is "long non-coding RNA (PGIN_LNC009382)". Lineage: Eukaryota; Viridiplantae; Streptophyta; Magnoliopsida; Apiales; Araliaceae. The record is from RNAcentral.